Molecule: ribosomal RNA, 482 nt
Filed under: uncultured bacterium
Lineage: Bacteria
Description: bacterial SSU rRNA
Rfam family: Bacterial small subunit ribosomal RNA
Source: RNAcentral
CUACGUGCCAGCAGCCGCGGUAAUACGUAGGUCCCGAGCGUUGUCCGGAUUUAUUGGGCGUAAAGCGAGCGCAGGCGGUUAGAUAAGUCUGAAGUUAAAGGCUGUGGCUUAACCAUAGUACGCUUUGGAAACUGUUUAACUUGAGUGCAAGAGGGGAGAGUGGAAUUCCAUGUGUAGCGGUGAAAUGCGUAGAUAUAUGGAGGAACACCGGUGGCGAAAGCGGCUCUCUGGCUUGUAACUGACGCUGAGGCUCGAAAGCGUGGGGAGCAAACAGGAUUAGAUCCCCUGGUAGUCCACGCCGUAAACGAUGAGUGCUAGGUGUUAGACCCUUUCCGGGGUUUAGUGCCGUAGCUAACGCAUUAAGCACUCCGCCUGGGGAGUACGACCGCAAGGUUGAAACUCAAAGGAAUUGACGGGGGCCCGCACAAGCGGUGGAGCAUGUGGUUUAAUUCGAAGCAACGCGAAGAACCUUACCAGGUCUU